AUGGGGCCGCGCCGGCAGUCGCCGCCUCGCCAGAUCCGGCGGUCCCCUCCUGGUAGGUGGCCAGGCGUCCUUCCCUCCUCCAGGCCGCCGCGUGGGCGCAUACCGGCGAUGCUCAUCGGCUGCUGCUACAACUGCAGCGAUGAGAGGCACAUCUCGGCCAUGUGCACCAACCCGCCGGUGUGUGUGCGCUGCGGGGAGGCGGGGCACAUCUCAAAGGGCUGCACUUUGCCGCGCCAUCGUCCGCGUCCGCGCAGUUCAUCUCCGGUGGAUCGGCCUAGGCCGCCGGCGGCGCUCCGGCCUCGGCUGUCGCCUUCCUCGCCGGUUGGGGCGCCGCCCGCGCCGGUUCCGCCGGCCCUGGUGCGGCGGGCCCCCCGCGUCUGCCCCCUCCUCCGUCGGGUCCGCCCCCUCCGGGCGUGGCGCGUGUCAGGGUCUCGUGGAGCCAGGUGGUCCGGUCGGGGGCUGAGUCGGUGGCCAGUGUGGCUGGGCCGGGCUUCUCGGUGCCCUUUGCGCCGGCCGGUGCCGUCGUGCAGGGCGUGUCUUCGGGCGCUUCGCAGACCGUGGUGGAUAAGCAGGUGGACUGCUGUUUCAUGGAGACUGGUCCGGAUCUUCGGGCCAUGGAGGAAGAGCAGUCUCGAGCGGUGCUGGUCUCGGUGGUCGGUUCGAGGCGGCUGGCGGAUCUGGCGGCGGUGGCGGCCGUCAUCGUGGAGGAGUUCGAGCUAG
This 720-nucleotide ribosomal RNA is filed under the name Triticum aestivum (bread wheat). RNAcentral's name for it is "partial small subunit ribosomal RNA". The record is from RNAcentral. Lineage: Eukaryota; Viridiplantae; Streptophyta; Magnoliopsida; Poales; Poaceae.